CUUUCACAGAGGGAUAGCCCAGAGAAAUUUGGAUUAAUACCUCAUAGUAUAGCAGUUUCGCAUGAAACCACUAUUAAAGUCACAACGGUGAAAGAUGAGCAUGCGUCCCAUUAGCUAGUUGGUAAGGUAACGGCUUACCAAGGCAACGAUGGGUAGGGGUCCUGAGAGGGAGAUCCCCCACACUGGUACUGAGACACGGACCAGACUCCUACGGGAGGCAGCAGUGAGGAAUAUUGGACAAUGGGCGCAAGCCUGAUCCAGCCAUGCCGCGUGCAGGAUGACGGUCCUAUGGAUUGUAAACUGCUUUUGUACAGGAAGAAACGCCUCUACGUGUAGAGACUUGACGGUACUGUAAGAAUAAGGAUCGGCUAACUCCGUGCCAGCAGCCGCGGUAAUACGGAGGAUCCAAGCGUUAUCCGGAAUCAUUGGGUUUAAAGGGUCCGUAGGCGGUUUAGUAAGUCAGUGGUGAAAGCCCAUCGCUCAACGGUGGAACGGCCAUUGAUACUGCU
RNAcentral lists this ribosomal RNA (509 nucleotides) under uncultured bacterium. Its description in RNAcentral is "bacterial SSU rRNA". It matches the Rfam family "Bacterial small subunit ribosomal RNA", at positions 130 to 637 of the family's 1533-position model. The record is from RNAcentral.